CCUAGGGGCUGAGAGCUCGAAGGGAAAAAGUGCAUUUAUUGCUCCCUCUCUGCUCAGAGACCCUGGAGCACUGCUGAAUAGGGAGUGCCUGACAUGCUGGAGCAGGGCAGCAAGAUGUCUUCUCUGCGAGGAGCUCAGCUAUCAUCACUUCUUAACUAAUCCCACAGAGUUUCACAUUUGAUCACUGAACAUAUGUACAAGGCCUGCUGUAGGGCUUGCCCCGGUGUUCACAGCAUUUCCAAGCUCUCCACCGCCCAGCCACAGCCUCUCCAGCCUGCUCCUCCUCAAAUGUCCCUCUCGGCUCCCAGCACCUCUGGGCGGCGCACCGCGCUACUCCGCAGGCACUGAUGUCGGAGCACAGCGUUUGGCACUUGGUUAUCUGGCCCGCAGGAUGACGGUUUAAAAACUGAACAAACAUCCCAA
This 423-nucleotide long non-coding RNA is filed under the name Chinchilla lanigera (long-tailed chinchilla). RNAcentral describes it as "lncRNA (ENSCLAG00000023602.1)". The record is from RNAcentral. Lineage: Eukaryota; Metazoa; Chordata; Mammalia; Rodentia; Chinchillidae.